Long non-coding RNA from Cyprinus carpio carpio, 1716 nucleotides. The record is from Ensembl. Lineage: Eukaryota; Metazoa; Chordata; Actinopteri; Cypriniformes; Cyprinidae.
AUGCAGAGAUGUAUAGUAACGAAGUAGAACUACUUCACUACUGUACUUAAGUACUAAAAGGCGGUACCUGUACUUUACUAGAGUAUUAUUUUUUUCUCCUACUUCCACUUUUACUUCAGUAAAUAUUUUCAAUGAGUUUAAUACUUUUACUCCGAUAUUUUUUUAUGUGCUGCAUCGUUACUCGUUACAAUUAUAAAAAUGUUACGAAUCAUUCCAUUCCAAACCCACAUUACCACUGCCAGAACGGUAGAUGGCAGGUUUGAUGAAGCUGGCACAUUAUUGAGCGAAUCAAGCGAUUAAGAAGACUUCGCGUGCUCCCAUUCUGCCUUUUGAUCAGCUAAAAAGAUGGACGAACCAAAAACACCACCUUCCACCCCUUCAACUUCAAGUGAUCGUGGUGUUUUAUAGGUUAAUGGUAGUAUAGAUUGACACUGACAUUAGUAAUGCAGGAGUUUUCCUGCAUUGAAAUGUUUUUGGCGGCCGCCAAAGCCGUAUUUGUUCGGUGAGUGAUGUAGAAUAGAAUGACUGCUGCGCUUGUCAGGGCGCAUAUAAGAACGAGCAGCGAGAGAGAGAGAGAGCGCGCGCGCAUUCACCGUCAUAAAACAACACGAGCGCUGUCUUGCUCUCAAAUUGCUCUCUAUUUGUUUACAUAGUUAAUAAUAUUACUAAUAUUAACAAAGAUUAAUAAAUACAGUAACAAAUGUAUUGAUCAUGGUUAGUUAUUAGUCUAAUACAUUAACUAAUGUAAUGUUAACAAAUCAAACUAUAUUGUAAAGUGUUACAAACAAAUAAUUUACUCAGAACACCUCUUGAAAUGAGAAUAUAAGUGUGCUUACCCCAUUUUUUACAGUACCGCUCAAAAAUUGGGGAUUACUUUGAAUUUUUUUUUUUUUUUAUAUAUGGAAACACACAUGAGCUUGUCCUGUAUAUAAGAUAUUGCAAACAUACCUAUAAACAGGGCAUUAUGAUGUUAGAGUGAGAAAUGAUGUGGUAUGGGAGCCUGCUUUAUGCAUACCAGUUUAAGAAGGGAAUAAGCUGUGGAGAAAAAAAAGCACAAGGAGGGAAGAGAGGGUAGAGAUGCUUUAAAGGGGAAGGGGCAUAUUUGAUCUGUUUUUGUUUACAAAUAUUUAAGCUCAGUGUUUUAAGGUGCUCUAAUCACUUUUGUUUUUACAUAAGAAAUACUUGAAUGUGGCCUACUGGCUUUUGAGAUCUUUUAGUUGCCCUAACAAGUUGAGGGUGAAAAGAAAAUGUGUAACUUCCAAAAAUGACUGCUUUAUGCACACUAGUUUAAGAAGGAAAUAAGUUGUGGAGAAAAAAAAACAAGCAGGGAAGAGAAGGGAGGGAUGCUUUAAAGGGGGAAGGGACAUACUUAAUCUGUUUUUUGUUUACAAAAAGUUACAGUCAAAGGAAUUGUGAUUGUCCUUUAGGUUAAUCAUUUGAAAUAAUAAAAACAAUAUGUUCAAACUUUUGACUACUUUCUUUAAUAACUACAUAACACAAUACUUGUACUUUUACUUUCAGUACUUGAGUAGUAAAUUUUAAAAUAGACUACUUGCAAUACUUAAGUACAAAAAAUGUUGAAUACUUUAGUACUUCUACUUAAGUGUGGUGCUUAAAGAGCACUUCAACUUCUACUCAAGUCACUUUUUUGAUAGAGCACUUGUACUUUUACUCAAGUCUGGUUCUCUAGUACUUUAUACAUCUCUGAUUAUAUGU